UACGGAGGGUGCAAGCGUUAUCCGGAUUCACUGGGUUUAAAGGGUGCGUAGGCGGGCAUUUAAGUCAGCGGUGAAAUCCCCGAGCUUAACUUGAGAACUGCCGUUGAUACUAUUUGUCUUGAAUGUCGUGGAGGUCAGCGGAAUAUGUCAUGUAGCGGUGAAAUGCUUAGAUAUGACAUAGAACACCUAUUGCGAAGGCAGCUGACUACGCGAUUAUUGACGCUGAGGCACGAAAGCGUGGGGAUCAAACAGGAUUAGAUACCCUGGUAGUCCACGCCCUAAACGAUGAUUACUCGACAUUGGCGAUACACAGUCAGUGUCUGAGCGAAAGCAUUAAGUAAUCCACCUGGGAAGUACGACCGCAAGGUUGAA
Molecule: ribosomal RNA, 372 nt
Filed under: uncultured bacterium
Lineage: Bacteria
Description: bacterial SSU rRNA
Rfam family: Bacterial small subunit ribosomal RNA
Source: RNAcentral